AGUGAACGCUGGCGGUAGGCCUAACACAUGCAAGUCGAACGGCAGCACAGGAGAGCUCGCUCUCGAGGUGGCGAGUGGCGGACGGGUGAGGAAUACAUCGGAAUCUGCCCAGUCGUGGGUGAUAACGUAGGGAAACUUACGCUAAUACCGCAUACGACCUUCGGGUGGAAGGGGGGGAUCGCAAGACCUCGCGCGAGUGGAUGAGCCGAGGUCGGAUUAGCUAGUUUGCGGGGUAAUGGCCCACCAAGGCGACGAUCCGUAGCUGGUCUGAGAGGAUGAUCAGCCACACUGGAACUGAGACACGGUCCAGACUCCUACGGGAGGCAGCAGUGGGGAAUAUUGGACAAUGGGCGCAAGCCUGAUCCAGCCAUACCGCGUGGGUGAAGAAGGCCUUCGGGUUGUAAAGCCCUUUUGUUGGGAAAGAAAUCUUUCAGGCUAAUACCCUGGGAGGAUGACGGUAUCCAAAGAAUAAGCACCGGCUAACUUCGUG
RNAcentral lists this ribosomal RNA (490 nucleotides) under uncultured bacterium. RNAcentral describes it as "partial 16S ribosomal RNA". It matches the Rfam family "Bacterial small subunit ribosomal RNA", at positions 29 to 507 of the family's 1533-position model. The record is from RNAcentral.